Myotis lucifugus (little brown bat) is the source of this 132-nucleotide small nucleolar RNA. Its record names the gene SNORA72. It matches the Rfam family "Small nucleolar RNA SNORA72". Rfam says of the family: U72 is a member of the H/ACA class of snoRNAs. Lineage: Eukaryota; Metazoa; Chordata; Mammalia; Chiroptera; Vespertilionidae. The record is from Ensembl.
UUGCGAAUAAUCUCCCUGUUCUGAUUUUGUAAUAAUCAGGGCAGGCUACACAUUCGCUAUAUUAAGACCAGGCAUGUGUGCCCAGACCUAGUUCUUUCCCUGGGUCUGGUUUUAUAAAUGCUGGUGAUAAAC